AGGGGGCUGAAUGUGCUCUGGGCCUGGCUGGAGGGUUCUAGGUCACAGCAGGGCCUCCUCCUUGGCCUGAAGGGGGCGGGGCCUGCCAGGGAGUGCCUUGCGGGAAGGGAGGGCAAAGGGCCAUGUCUUUCACUUGCCCCACCCGGCUGCCAAGAGUUCCAGUCACCAGGCCACCCUGAGUCUGGGUCCUUGAGGGUCGAGACUGGGAGACUGGGGCAGCAACCUGGGGCAGGAACAGGGCACCUCAACCCCUUCCCCACCUGACAUCAGCAUCAAAGUCAAGGCCAGGGCAGCAGGGCCCAGUGCGGGACACCUCUUCCAGAAAAGACUUGAUCGUCGCCUCCUCCUCUGUCACCCUGUGCCACAGCCCAGAGUCCCAGGCUGCUGGAGCACUGGGGGACACCCAGACAGAGCCUUCCCUGGACCAAGUCCUCCAGGAGCGGGAUGAAGCCAUUGCCAAGAAGCGGGCAGUGGAGGCGGAGCUGCACACGUGCAAAGCCCGGCUGCAUGCCGUAGAGGCCCAGCUGCUGGAGGUCCUGGAGGAGAAACUGAGGCUGAGGCGGGAGCUGGAGGCCUGGGAGGAAGACAUGCAGCGACUGGUGUGGCAACAGGUCCAGAAUCAGCUGCGGAAAGAGGCUGAGGGCACUCGGGGAGCCCACGUGGACCCUGGAGCUGCCAGGAACCCCUGGUCUAGAUUCUCCCUGGGUCGGGGACGUUGGUGGUGACACAGACCUCAGCCCAGGACUGUGGGAGUAGUCUUUAUUCAUUAAAGCCUGAGGUCUGACCACCCCUGUAAA
Long non-coding RNA from Sapajus apella (tufted capuchin), 797 nucleotides. RefSeq lists it as uncharacterized. The record is from RefSeq and is a predicted model, not a curated record. Lineage: Eukaryota; Metazoa; Chordata; Mammalia; Primates; Cebidae. The transcript has 4 exons.